Small nucleolar RNA from Cyprinodon variegatus (sheepshead minnow), 138 nucleotides. The record is from Ensembl. NCBI's taxonomy places the organism in Eukaryota, Metazoa, Chordata, Actinopteri, Cyprinodontiformes, Cyprinodontidae.
CUCCAGGCUCCUAUCGAAGCCGGUCCUGCUCUCCUGUAGCAGCCGCCGGUCAAACGGAAGCCCAGAUGAAGCCUUUCACCGACGGUCGCUGCUCAGCGGACCAGUGGCUGUUCAGCAACAUUUAGGGAAAGGACACUC